This 579-nucleotide ribosomal RNA is filed under the name uncultured fungus. RNAcentral describes it as "eukaryotic LSU rRNA". The stretch from base 1 to 113 matches the Rfam family "5.8S ribosomal RNA", at positions 43 to 154 of the family's 154-position model. The record is from RNAcentral. Lineage: Eukaryota; Fungi.
ACGCAGCGAAUUGCGAUAAGUAAUGUGAAUUGCAGAUUUCCAGUGAAUCAUCGAAUCUUUGAACGCACCUUGCGCUCCUUGGUAUUCCGAGGAGCAUGCCUGUUUGAGUGUCAUUUUGAAUUCUCAACCAUCUCUUGAUUCAUUUCAAGAUCGUUGGCUUGGAAAUGGGGGCUGCUGGUCAUGGUCUUUGACUUGGAUCAGCUCUCCUAAAAUGAAUUAGCGAUUGGGUAGCCAAGUCUUUCGACGUGCACGGCCUUUCGACGUGAUAAUGAUCGUCGUGGCUGGAGCGUCUUUGAGUUGAAUUCAAUGCCUAUUGCUUAUAACAAUAAUAUAUAUAAUGAGAAUGUAAUGAGGGAAAGGAAUAUGUCCCCCGAGCUUUCAAGCCUUUUCUAGUUACUAGUUGGUCAACGGACCGGCGAACACAGAAAAGUACAAGGCCUGGCCACGUAUCUUCCUUCCUCUUCAUUAUUCAAGACUAGUGUCUCUGACCGUCUUAUUCUCAUAUAUUUAUAUUUUCGAAACUUGACCUCAAAUCAGGUAGGACUACCCGCUGAACUUAAGCAUAUCAAUAAGCGGAGG